Diorhabda carinulata is the source of this 606-nucleotide long non-coding RNA. RefSeq lists it as uncharacterized. The transcript has 2 exons. NCBI's taxonomy places the organism in Eukaryota, Metazoa, Arthropoda, Insecta, Coleoptera, Chrysomelidae. The record is from RefSeq and is a predicted model, not a curated record.
ACGGUAUGUAUUAAUCGAACAAUGCUUCAAACAAUUAUCAAAAUAGAAUGCACAUUCAGCAAUCACGGAUAGAUAGAAUGGUGACUAAAGAAAUAUUAUUGAGCAUUAUCGUCACCAGUACGUCUUUACUUUUGCAGUAGUAGUUUGUAGUUAAAGUGCAGUUUGAGAUAUAGAAAAAAAUAUAAAAAUUCAAUUAUUUCAAAGUAUGUCAGAAGGAAAUAUAAGUAUCGUGAUGGAUGAAAACAAUGUCACUAUUGCAAAUUCAAAAGAAGUUCAUCUUAAACAACCGAGAUCAUGGUAUAGAAUUCUUGAGUGCCAGAUAUAUUUGAUUAUGGUGAUGGUUGUUUUCGCUGUUGUUAUUUCCCUUACAGUUAGAAAGUUUCAGCAGGCUCAGCAGAUUUUACAAGAGAGGCAUGAAAAAAGAGCGAUUAACGUUAUGGUUGCAUAUUUGGAUAAAUCGACUUCUAAUUUGCACUGAUUUGAACCGUUAUAAAAUAAGAAUCAGUUUAAAUGAAGCGUAUUUAUUAAAAUUGAUAAGUUAUCUCAGUAUCGAUGAUAUAUUGUAAUUCCCAAGACACCUGGAUAGAAAAUAAAGUAUUUAAUUGA